This 1932-nucleotide unclassified non-coding RNA is filed under the name Hevea brasiliensis (rubber tree). The record is from RNAcentral. Lineage: Eukaryota; Viridiplantae; Streptophyta; Magnoliopsida; Malpighiales; Euphorbiaceae.
UUUCAGAGAAAGAAAUUAACCACUCCUAUUACACACUUUCGCCAAAAGAAUCCUUGAUUAAGAAUUUCACAACAUUCUUUAAAAAAAUGAAAAUUCCACAGGUUAGCAUCGGGGUAGAUCUGCAGGAGGAUGUGGCAGAGUCUCCAAGUGUCCUUUCCCAUUCUUCACUAUAAGCACCGUAGCUAAUCCCCAUGAUUGGUGUAUAUCAAAGUGACAGUGCAUAAACCAAACCCCCGGAUUGUCUGCAACAAAGCGAAUUGCUGCCCAUCCCCCAACUGGAACUCCAAUGGUGUUCAUAUAUGGCGGAUCCACUAGAUUGAGAUUUGCUCUUUGUGGGUUAUAGUUGCCGGUGCCGUAUCCCACAACAUAGAAACUAUAGCCAUGGAGGUGAAUUGGGUGAUUUUCAGUUGUGACCGUUCCGGUGUCCUGCAAAAUGAUUUGCACCCUGCUUCCAUACUCAAGGACCUUAGUCCUAGUCCCAUUCAUUGAGUUUGUGUCAAAUGGGAUAUUGUUAGGUGCCCCAUUGACAAAGUCAUAGAAUCUAAGAGGUGCUCCAGGGAAAUCAUCAGUGAAAAAGCCCUCAAUCCCCUGGUAAUAGGCUUCCAAAACUGAAACCGUAGGCUUAAUGAAACUUACAUUGUUCAUGGAAGCUGCCAUGGUACCAUUAUUAAGGCCUUGGCAAUUUUGUUGAGGUGUUUUGGAGCUACACUUGUUGACAUUUAUUCCAAUAGUUACGAAGAGAUUAGUGUCAAUCUCUUUUGGAACGUUUGAAGUAUUUAAGCCUCGCAAGCCAUCCAUGACCGUCUUAACAGCUAAAUUAUCAUUGAAGUUGGGUAAUCUAGCUGGUAAUGAAAUGCUAUUAGGGACAGCACCCAAGUAUUGGAAGUGGGCAAUUGCUGAAAUGUUCUGGAAUGAGACACCCUGAGCUGACAUGUAAGGUCCCAUGGCCAUGGAAUAUUUUCCAAUGGGCUGAUCGGCAGUGACGAGGAUGAUCAUUGUCUGUCCCGGUCCGAGCAUUACACGGUCAGUGGUGAAUGGUUUUGUGUACUCCGCAUCGGCUUCUACGAUUGUUAAUUUGUGAUUAGCAAUUGCAAAGAAGUUUUCCAUGUUUAAGCCUGCAUUUAUCAGCCUUAACAAAUAGGUCUUUCCUGGGACCACGUCGAUCUUAUAAACAUCAUUAGCAGAGCAAUUGUAGUUAGGACCAGGGUGACCAUUGAUGGUAUAGGCAUUGGAGGGUGGAGGGGCUCCCCCGCUUGCGAGUACUUGCCGCUCUAGUUGUACAACAUCCUGGAGCCAAUAUUCCCCCAGAAUUACUAUAUGCUCUUCAUGAGGGUGGGGAAAUGGGUAUGGGACCCCCGUUUUUGGGUACACAACAAUGGCACCAUAAACUGUACCCCUUAGCCAAGAAACAUGAGCAUGCCAAAAGAAGGUGCCCUUUUGCCUAACCAACGUGAACUCGUAAGUGAAACUCUGCCCAGGCUGAAUUGGGCAUUGGGUGAUAUAUGAAGGUCCAUCGAACCAGCAAGAUAGUAUCUGCCUGACACCGUGCCAGUGGAUGGUGGCAUUGUAAGGGGACUCGUUGGUAACUUUGACGAUUAUUCGAUCACCUUGUUGGGCAUAAACGACAGGUCCAGGGUACAUAUUAUUAACAGCAACAAUUUCCUUGGUGUUGCACAAUUUAUUAAUAGUCAUGGUAUGAAUCUUGAAAUCAUAGAACCUGGUUGUUCUCCCUCCAGGCCAGUUAGGCGUAGAAUGAACAGAGUAGGCGCAAGACAUGAUUAGGCUUAAGCAUAUGAUCGUAAAAGAAUAGGGAGGGUUGGCCAUGUUGAGAGAGAUAGAGGUAGAAAGAAUUGGUUCUUAGAGGUGAAGUGGUGUUGGAAAGAAGCUUUUAAUAUAGAUAGUUACAGGUAAUAGAGAGAGAAUAAUGAAAUG